Molecule: small RNA, 532 nt
Filed under: Pongo abelii (Sumatran orangutan)
Lineage: Eukaryota; Metazoa; Chordata; Mammalia; Primates; Hominidae
Description: retained intron
Source: RNAcentral
AGAAGCGAGCGGCACCCGGGGACCAUCCCACAGCAGAUUCAGUGGCCGCCAACGUCAGGCUGCAGUUGCCUUCUUCGUGGAUGUUGGAUGUGGAAGCCCAGGAGCCCCCCAAGGGGAAAUGGUCGACGCCGCCCUUCGACCCGCGCUUCCCCAACCAGAACCAGACCCGUAACUGUUACCAGAACUUCCUAGGUGAGACCUGUUCAGCCAGGUUAUGCGGGGAGCAGGGUGUGACAAGGGAAGGCAGGGAGGGGCACCCCCACCCUAAGUCCCGCGGAGACCGUUAGGGUGGGAGGCAGGGCGGGUCUGGGUUGGUGGGGCGGGGCCGGGUUGGUGGGGGCGGGGCCGGGUUGGUGGGGCGGGGUCUGGCAGAGAAAAGGCGGGGCUGAGCCUGGAGGGGCGGGGCGAGGUUGGUAGGGGAGAGGCCUGAUCUGGAAGUUGUGGGGCCGAGUCGUGAAGGUGCGGGGCGAGGUAGGUGGGGGCAGGGUCUGGCUAGGAGGAGCAGUGUGAGGGAGGUAGGGAUCGGGGCCUG